RNAcentral lists this long non-coding RNA (1558 nucleotides) under Junco hyemalis (dark-eyed junco). Its description in RNAcentral is "lncRNA (ENSJHYG00000013678.1)". The record is from RNAcentral. Lineage: Eukaryota; Metazoa; Chordata; Aves; Passeriformes; Passerellidae.
AGCCAGCACAGCUUCAGUUACAAUUAUGCAGCAUAAUUCCCUGCGAUAGAAGGGUAGUGACAAUAAUAAAUUCAAAUGCAUUCAGAUAAAUAAUUUUAAAGCAAAUGCACAUUGCUGGAGGAUAUUCACCAAGCAGACAAAAAAAAAAAAAAAAAAAAAAAAAAAAAAAAAAAAAAAAAAAAAAAAAAAAAAAAAAAAAAAAGCCCAGUAGCCUAAUAUGUUAUUUCUUGGGAAUAGUUCUUUCUGCCCUCAGGCUGAUAUAUUCUUUGGGAACACUUUAAUGCAGUUCCUAUAAUUAGUGAGUACUUCACAAUCACCUUCCAGAGAAUUAUAUCUUUCUGUAACACUCUCUGCGUGUGCUUUGAAGGCAUCGAAGCAUACAAGGUUCUUGUCUCAGCAGAAGAAAGGCUGCAGGGCAGAACCGGGGCAGGGGGCUUUACAGCGUUGCCAGGAGGCACCAGCUCGGUUUCCCUGCAGCAGGCACAUCUCUCCUCUUUGAGAAACACUGUGCAAGGCAUGUACCAAGAGAAAUGGGGAAGGAGACAUGCCAGGGUGCUAUCCAGACAUUCUUCUGAGAAAGUCUACCUUCUUGUGCAAACAGAGAGAUACUUCCAAGACCUGCUCAGUCUGGAAUUGCCUUGAAGUCACUCUCAACUUGCAGAUUAGUACAGUGACAAAAGAACAUACAUUUUCUCAGCAAGUCACUUUUGCUGGCAGCCCUCUAGCCCAGUCCAGUCCAGAAGCUAUCUGUAUUUAUCACCAUCUCAGGAAGAGUUGUACUGCUUCCAAAGGAGCUCUUUGCUUUUGUGCAGAAGUGCUGUCACUCCCUCAAUAUCACUUGCUUUUCUAGGAAUUCCUGUGUGAAAUUGCCCUCUGAGACAAGUGAGAAAUGAGGCCAUGUAAGUUACUAGAUAUUGUUCCCUUAUAAAAUGUUUAUUUCCUUACACACAUAAACCCCUUGCCCUUUUAUAUCUACCUAGGGGAAACCCUGUGGAAGGAAAUAUUUCAUCCUAAGAAGCCAUCAAGAUAUCAUUGCAUUGGUUCAUUUUGAGACUUGCUGAACAAAAUUCUACACCCUUCAGAAUUCAGAAGUCCUGUAGAAAAAUAUUCAUUUUGAGCAGUUUGUUGGAUUUCCCAGAAUUCUCCCAAAUCCCUUUCAUUCAGUCAGAGCUGAUCCUGGGCAAUGCUAAGCAAUUUCUUAAAAAACACUGCCAGUUAUUUGUUGCUGCUGGCAUUAAUUGGACACAGCAAAUUUAGCUCUUUGCAAAUUUGGUACCAUAUAGUCCAGUCUGCAGCUUUUAGAAUAAUUGAUUAAUUGACUGAGAAUUUAUCUAGGCAUGUGUAAUUUACUAAGCAGAACUAGAGAAAAGUGGUGGAUUUUAGGAAGGCUGAUUUGCUCACACCCUGUGCUGUGCAGUAAUGCCAAAUGGAAACAGUUUAUUGCCAUACCUACAGUGGGAGCUCCGCCUGAUGUUGGCUUCUCAGGGAGUUCAGUGGUGAUUGUGGUCUCAUGACAUCUUCUCUGGUGUCACCGCUAAUAAAACAAUUGUGCUAUUCA